UAAACUUUAUUUAUUCCCAUGAUUAAAAUGUGAAAAUAAAAUCUGUUAAGCUAUUUUAAUUCGCUUUCCUCUUUUAACUUCCUUAUCAGUCAAAACCUUUUUCUUUCAUUCAAUUUUAUACAGGUUGUCUCAUUUUAACCCUUAGCUAGCACUGUGGGAUCUUAAACGCCCCAGCCUAGUUCAGCUCCAAUUUAAGCCCCCCUAUAGUACGAAAAUGGUACUUGUGGUACCAUCUCUUGUUAAGACGAGGAACGCUCUUCCUCCUGGAGUACAGAGCGUAAUCCUAAAAGUGUUACUGUAGCUGUGACAGUCGAGUGAAACGGACCGGGGUCAUCAGGGACCCAGUGUGCCAGCUAUAAUUAUUCGAAGAUAUUUUUUCUGAAUUUUUUUCAUUGGUUUUCGUCAUCAGUGUGUAGAAAAAGAUGGCGUAUCAGUUACGGCCUCGACCCAUACGCCAGCAGCUACUCGAGGAGGAUCGUGAAGAUAAUUUGGACGAAAAUCCCUCUGAUGAAGAUACUAGAAAUGAUUCUGAAUACUCUGAAGAAGAUUCUGAUUAUUAUAUAUUAUUAUUUUCAUAUUUUUUACGAUUAUAUCCUUUUAUAUAU
Molecule: long non-coding RNA, 605 nt
Organism: Ooceraea biroi (clonal raider ant)
Lineage: Eukaryota; Metazoa; Arthropoda; Insecta; Hymenoptera; Formicidae
Source: RefSeq, a predicted model, not a curated record